UCGUUGGCUUCGGAAGACACGACCGGUGCACACGUGACCGAAACACGAUGCCGGGGAGGCGCUGCCGCCCCGGCCCAACGGCCCCGCCCUCUCGCCCUGCGGGCGUUUGGGUCCGGUGCCGAACACGGCGCGGGUUGACGCCAAGGAAAACUGGACUUGCUGAGGCGGCCGGCGGACCGCAUACGCGUUUCGCCCGCUGCCGAUGCGAAGGAACGC
RNAcentral lists this unclassified non-coding RNA (216 nucleotides) under Rhynchospora chinensis. Lineage: Eukaryota; Viridiplantae; Streptophyta; Magnoliopsida; Poales; Cyperaceae. The record is from RNAcentral.